This 253-nucleotide ribosomal RNA is filed under the name uncultured bacterium. RNAcentral describes it as "partial 16S ribosomal RNA". It matches the Rfam family "Bacterial small subunit ribosomal RNA", at positions 524 to 776 of the family's 1533-position model. The record is from RNAcentral.
UACGUAUGGAGCAAGCGUUAUCCGGAUUUACUGGGUGUAAAGGGAGCGCAGGCGGCUUUGCAAGUCUGAUGUGAAAGGCCGGGGCUCAACCCCGGGACUGCAUUGGAAACUGUAAAGCUAGAGUGCCGGAGGGGUAAGCGGAAUUCCUAGCGUAGCGGUGAAAUGCGUAGAUAUCAGGAGGAACACCGGUGGCGAAGGCGGCCUGCUGGACUGCGACUGACGUUGAGGCCCGAAAGCGUGGGGAGCAAACAGG